Molecule: ribosomal RNA, 490 nt
Filed under: uncultured bacterium
Lineage: Bacteria
Description: partial 16S ribosomal RNA
Rfam family: Bacterial small subunit ribosomal RNA
Source: RNAcentral
GAUGAACGCUAGCUCCAGGCUUAACACAUGCAAGUCGAGGGGCAGCAUGGUCUUAGCUUGCUAAGGCCGAUGGCGACCGGCGCACGGGUGAGUAACACGUAUCCAACCUGCCGUCUACUCUUGGACAGCCUUCUGAAAGGAAGAUUAAUACAAGAUGGCAUCAUGAGUCCGCAUGUUCACAUGAUUAAAGGUAUUCCGGUAGACGAUGGGGAUGCGUUCCAUUAGAUAGUAGGCGGGGUAACGGCCCACCUAGUCUUCGAUGGAUAGGGGUUCUGAGAGGAAGGUCCCCCACAUUGGAACUGAGACACGGUCCAAACUCCUACGGGAGGCAGCAGUGAGGAAUAUUGGUCAAUGGGCGCAGGCCUGAACCAGCCAAGUAGCGUGAAGGAUGACUGCCCUAUGGGUUGUAAACUUCUUUUAUAAAGGAAUAAAGUCGGGUAUGUAUACCCGUUUGCAUGUACUUUAUGAAUAAGGAUCGGCUAACUCCGUG